GGAGUUAGCCGGUGCUUCUUCUGUGAGUGAUGUCCUUCCUGCCGGCUAUUAACCCGCAGGCCUUCUUCCUCACUGAAAGUGCUUUACAACCCGAAGGCCUUCUUCACACACGCGGCAUGGCUGGAUCAGGGUUGCCCCCAUUGUCCAAUAUUCCCCACUGCUGCCUCCCGUAGGAGUCUGGGCCGUGUCUCAGUCCCAGUGUGGCUGAUCAUCCUCUCAGACCAGCUACGGAUCGUCGCCUUGGUGAGCCGUUACCUCACCAACCAGCUAAUCCGACAUAGGCUCAUCCGAUAGCGCGAGGCCCGAAGGUCCCCCGCUUUCCCCCGUAGGGCGUAUGCGGUAUUAGCCUGGGUUUCCCCAGGUUAUCCCCCACUACCGGGCAGAUUCCUAUGCAUUACUCACCCGUCCGCCGCUCGCCACCAGGGAGCAAGCUCCCCGUGCUGCCGCUCGACUUGCAUGUGUUAGGCCUGCCGCCAGCGUUCAAUCUGAACACGANACAAUACUGA
RNAcentral lists this ribosomal RNA (506 nucleotides) under uncultured bacterium. Its description in RNAcentral is "partial 16S ribosomal RNA". The record is from RNAcentral.